RNAcentral lists this ribosomal RNA (459 nucleotides) under uncultured bacterium. Its description in RNAcentral is "SSU rRNA". It matches the Rfam family "Bacterial small subunit ribosomal RNA", at positions 26 to 518 of the family's 1533-position model. The record is from RNAcentral.
AGAACGAACGCUGGCGGCAUGCCUAACACAUGCAAGUCGAACGCUCUUGAGGCUUCGGUUUCAAGGGAGUGGCGCACGGGUGAGUAGCGCGUGGGAACCUGCCCUGUUGUGGGGGAUAACCGAGGGAAACUUCGGCUAAUACCGCAUGCGCCCGGGGAAACCCGGGAAAGAUUUAUCGCAGCAGGAGGGCCCGCGUCGGAUUAGGUAGUUGGUGGGGUAACGGCCCACCAAGGCAUCGACGGGUAGCUGGUCUGAGAGGACGAUCAGCCACACUGGGACUGAGACACGGCCCAGACUCCUACGGGAGGCAGCAGUGGGGAAUCUUGCGCAAUGGGCGAAAGCCUGACGCAGCAACGCCGCGUGGAGGACGAAGGCUUUCUGAGUUGUAAACUCCUUUCAGCAGGACGAUAGUGACGGUACCUGCAGAAGAGCACCGGCCAACUACGCGCCAGCAGCCGC